AUAGUUUAGUGAAUACAAGCAUGUCUAGCUUGAGGUUUAGGCGGGUGUGAUAACUUUA
Molecule: transfer RNA, 58 nt
Filed under: Pomphorhynchus laevis
Lineage: Eukaryota; Metazoa; Acanthocephala; Palaeacanthocephala; Echinorhynchida; Pomphorhynchidae
Description: tRNA-Asp
Source: RNAcentral